This 419-nucleotide long non-coding RNA is filed under the name Apteryx rowi (Okarito brown kiwi). RNAcentral's name for it is "lncRNA (ENSARWG00000016000.1)". The record is from RNAcentral. Lineage: Eukaryota; Metazoa; Chordata; Aves; Apterygiformes; Apterygidae.
CGCCCCGGCACUGAGCGCUCGCUCGCACCCGCGGCAGCGCCGCUUGCCCGCAGCCUCUUCGCCUGCUGUCGGGAGGCCGGAGCAGGACUUUAGAGCUGCCCCCUUAUUUUCGUCCUCUUCAGUGGAGAAAUGAAAAGGCCUGUGUGCACUUCACAGGAAAUGAAUGUCUGAUACAAGCUUGCAGACUGCACAUUUCCAAGAACUGCUCUCAAGAAACCAACCAUGCUUGCAGGCUUGCCUGCCUUGAAGAGUACUCGGAACGCAUCAAACUAUCUUGUGGGUUUUCUUUGGGUAAAAAACCUUUUAGCCUGUAUCAGCAAAGUGUCACGCUAAAGCAGAAAGCACAUGUCAUGGAAAAGUAUGACAAGAAACACAAAACUGAAACAUCAAAUCCAUGGAAAGGAAGAACUUGCUCUUAA